UCUCCGUUGGUGAACCAGCGGAGGGAUCAUUACCGAAGUUACCUUCAAAACCCACUGUGAACCUUACCUCUUGCCGCGUUGUCUCGGCGGGAGGCGGUGUGCGUCGCGCGCCCUAGCGGGCCGCGCCGCCUCCGUCUCCGCCGGCAGCGCCAAACUCUAAAUGCACAGCGGACUGGACGUUCUGAUUUACAAAAAAAAAAAAUUAAAACUUUCAACAACAGAUCUCUUUGUUUUGGAACCGAUGAAGAACGCAUCAGAUCGGACGAGCACAUCAUAGAA
Molecule: unclassified non-coding RNA, 279 nt
Filed under: plant metagenome
Description: partial contains small subunit ribosomal RNA, internal transcribed spacer 1, and 5.8S ribosomal RNA
Source: RNAcentral